This 460-nucleotide ribosomal RNA is filed under the name uncultured bacterium. RNAcentral describes it as "partial 16S ribosomal RNA". It matches the Rfam family "Bacterial small subunit ribosomal RNA", at positions 338 to 795 of the family's 1533-position model. The record is from RNAcentral.
CCUACGGGAGGCAGCAGUGAGGAAUAUUGGUCAAUGGGCGGAAGUCUGAACCAGCCAAGUAGCGUGCAGGAUGACUGCCCUAUGGGUUGUAAACUUCUUUUAUAUGGGGAUAACAUGUUCCACGUGUGGAAUUUUGUAUGUACCAUAUGAAUAAGGGUCGGCUAACUCCGUGCCAGCAGCCGCGGUAAUACGGAGGGUCCGAGCGUUAUCCGGAUUUAUUGGGUUUAAAGGGAGCGUAGGUGGAUGGUUAAGUCAGUUGUGAAAGUUUGCGGCUCAACCGUACAAUUGCAGUUGAAACUGGCAGCCUUGAGUACAGUAGAGGUGGGCGGAAUUCGUGGUGUAGCGGUGAAAUGCUUAGAUAUCACGAAGAACUCCGAUUGCGAAGGCAGUUCACUGGACUGCAACUGACACUGAGGCUCGAAAGUGUGGGUAUCAAACAGGAUUAGAUACCCUAGUAGUC